Molecule: long non-coding RNA, 442 nt
Filed under: Homo sapiens (human)
Lineage: Eukaryota; Metazoa; Chordata; Mammalia; Primates; Hominidae
Description: non-protein coding lnc-TRIM11-6:1
Source: RNAcentral
UUGUCAGUGGGCCGCAGUUUACUGCCCUCCCAGAACCACUGGCCAGGCACUUCGUCGUGGGAGACCUCACAGGAGAAGGUGGCACCGUCCUUCUCCAUCACUUCCACAUCCUCCAGGGGCCUCACGAUCUGGAUGUUGCGGCCUAGGGUGGCAAGGGAGGCCCUGCCACACCCGGACACACAGAGCUGCUCCCAGCACCCCCCACCCAGUGCCCCAGCAUGCCAAGGGUUGUGCAGGUGAAAGUAGAGCUGCCAAGCCCCUGGCUGGGGGACACGGAGGACAGGAGGAGGUGCCCAUACCUGCCAUGCCCCACAUGCCCCACGCAGCCCUCACCUUGUACCUUCACGGAGGCAGAGCUCUGGGCAUCAUGGGCAUCACACACAUACACUCCCUGAUCCGCGAACUCGCACCGGUAAAUGGUGAGGCUCCUGCAGGCGCCCUG